RNAcentral lists this ribosomal RNA (868 nucleotides) under Cryptops hortensis. RNAcentral's name for it is "eukaryotic LSU rRNA". It matches the Rfam family "Eukaryotic large subunit ribosomal RNA", at positions 1131 to 1847 of the family's 3401-position model. The record is from RNAcentral. Lineage: Eukaryota; Metazoa; Arthropoda; Chilopoda; Scolopendromorpha; Cryptopidae.
CCAUUUUUGGUAAGCAGAACNGGCGCUGUGGGAUGAACCAAACGCUGGGUUACGGCGCCCGAUGCAGACGCCUAUCAGACCCCAUGAAAGGUGUUGGUUGCUAUAGACAGCAGGACGGUGGCCAUGGAAGUCGGAAUCCGCUAAGGAGUGUGUAACANCUCACCUGCCGAAGCAACUAGCCCUGAAAAUGGAUGGCGCUCCNGCGUCGAGCCCAUACCCAGCCACCGGUGGCAAAGAGAACGGGUCAAAGGAACCGGCCGACACGUCCGUCGACCUUCCUCCGGAUCGGAGGCCCCGGUGAGUAGGAGGGUCGCAGCGGUAAGCGUUGAAGGUGUCGGGCGCGAGCCCGCCUGGAGCUUCCGCUGGUGCAGAUCUUGGUGGUAGUAGCAAAUACUCGAGUGAGAACCUUGAGGACUGAAGUGGAGAAGGGUUCCAUGUGAACAGCAGUUGAACAUGGGUCAGUCGGCCCUAAGGAAUAGGGGAAACCCAUUCCGAAUCGGGUGGAUUAUUGGCAAACGCAAAUAAAUACCACAUAUACAUAUCUGCAAACCGUCCGUGCAGGUGUUGGUGGUGCCCAGAUGAUAAACCCCCGAAUGAUCGAAAGGGAAUCGGGUUAAUAUUCCCGAACCCGGAUGCAGAGAUCGGCCCUUCGGGGCCCAAUGCGGUAACGCAAACGAACUCGGAAACGUCGGCGGGAGUCCCGGGAAGAGUUGUCUUUUCUUUGUAAGGAACGUACUCCCUGGAAUCGGCUCGCCCGGAGAGAGGGAUGUUGUUUCCGUAAAGCACCGCGGCUCUUGCGGUGUCCGGAGCACUCUCGCCGGCCCUUGAAAAUCCGAGGGAGAGAAAAUGAUUUUGCACCGGACCGUAC